Small nuclear RNA from Octodon degus (degu), 109 nucleotides. NCBI's taxonomy places the organism in Eukaryota, Metazoa, Chordata, Mammalia, Rodentia, Octodontidae. The record is from Ensembl.
GUUCUUGCUUCGGCAGCACAUAUACUAAAAUUGGAGCGAUACAGAGAAGAUUAGCAUGGCUGUUGUGCAAGAAUGACACACAAAAAACACUGAGCCUAUGUCAACUUGC